RNA transcript from Anolis carolinensis (green anole), 3788 nucleotides. RefSeq lists it as uncharacterized. NCBI's taxonomy places the organism in Eukaryota, Metazoa, Chordata, Lepidosauria, Squamata, Anolidae. The transcript has 4 exons. The record is from RefSeq and is a predicted model, not a curated record.
GGAUAAAACUGCUUAUUCAGAUGCUUUAAUUUUGGUUUUGCUGAUUAGAAGAGAUGUAAUUUUGCUUCACAAAGUAUGAGAUAUGAUGUGAUUGUGUGGCUGCAUGUGGUUUCUGUUUUGUGUACAAGGUGUGAAUGAAACUUAUAUUAAUUUCUUGCUUAGAUUUGAGAUGUCACCAAGAUAUCUCAUUCUGCACAUGCAAAUAGAUUAAAAAUGUGAAAGAAAAUCCAAAGCCAAAAUGCAUCUGUUCCCAAGCAUUCCAGAUAAGGGAUGCCCAACCUCUCAGGGAGUCCUGAGGGGAGUCUAUGCGUAGGGAGGGAAACCACAUGGUGCUGUGUGUAUUUAAAACAUCAUCUGGAUAUGAGGACAUCAGGCAGAACUGAAAGAGGAGCUGUGAUGGCAACUGAGUUGCGGUAUCCUGACAAGGUGGUCAUAGUAACAGGGGGAACCAGGGGCAUCGGCAAAGCGAUUGUCAGAGAAUUUGGUGAGUUAAGAGAGAGAGAACUGGGCGUGGAAAUAAGAACCAUAUAUGCUAGAAAUCAUUUAUUUAUUUACUAUAUUUAUUUAUAUAUGCUAGAAAUUAGAACCAUAUAUGCUAGUAGAGAAAGAGAAAGUCCUUGUAAAACUUGAACUCUCAGGAUUCCGUAACAUUGAGUUAAGUUAAGAUGGUAUCUAAUUGUAUUAAUUCUACAUUGUAGAUGCACUCUGCAAACAACAAUCAAUAAUGAGAUGGACCCUAUAUGGCAUUUGUGUGUGUGUGUGUCUAUAAGUGAUAAUUUGUGGCCAAGUAUGAUUGUCUUCCAAGGGUAGAGUCUUGGCGGUGGGUGCAUAAAUGACUGUAAAGACCUGUUCUGCAUCCGUAUAGUCUUUCACAAUGAGGACAUAGAUUUAUAGAUGGAAGGUGGUUCCAACAAGAGUUUGCUUGAUGCGCCUUCAUUUUGGCAUAUUUCUCCCUUUCACCCUCUUUCCAUGCCUCUUCAAAAGCCAUAGCACUGUUGAUAACAGCUAACCCCCAGUUAUAAACUUUGAGUGCCAGGACUUCCCAGUUCUCUGUGUUUAAACCAAUUGUUUUUAGGUUAGCUUUUAGCCUGUCUUUAAAUCUCUUUUGCUGUCCAUCGACAUUUCAUUUUCUGUUUUUGAGCUGAGAAUAAAAUACGUAACUGUUUUGGGAGAUGGUGAUCGGGCAUUCGGACAACACGGUCAAUCCAGCACAGUUGAUCGUGCUGGAUCAUCGCUUCAGUCCUGGUCAUUUUUGCUUCUUCCAGAAUACCUGUCCUUCCAAGAGAUUUGCAGGAUUUUCUGAAGGCAACACUGAUGGAAUCUUUUCAGAAGUCGGCAGUGUUGUUUGUAAACAGUCCAUGUAUCACAGGCAUAUGAUAGAGUUAAAAAGUACAAUAGCUUUAUAAACAAGCAUCUUGACAUACCUAUAAAUGUACCAAUCCUCGAAUACUCUCUUAACACUCUCUAUGGUAUACGUGGCAUGGUGCUGGAUUGCAAGAGUCUAAAGUGUGUGUAUGUGCUGACAAGGUAUUUCCGCUCCAGUGUAACUCAUCUAGCCUGGUAUUAAAUUGCUAUGAUAAAAUUGUGGGUGAGACAUUAUUCAUUUAUAUGAUAUUUUAAUUUAUAUUUUAGACAUUUGUCAGCAAACAGAGAACUAUUCAUUCAGCACUGGCUGUGGUAGAAAAUGCUUGGCAAUGUAAUUUAGCAGCAUUCCUAUCCCAUUCUCCUGAACUUGAUAUAAAAGAGUGAUGGCAUCAGGGCAGAGGACAAAACAACAAAACUACAGGCCCCCCAACCUCGAAAUUUGACAACACAACCCAUCAUCCACGGCUCUAGGUUGAUACAACAAAAAGAAAAGAAAAAUAAAGUCCUAAUUAGAGGGAGAGGAAUAAUUGUUUUUAUCCAAUUGCUGCCAGUUACAAGGCUAAGUUCCACCCACUUGGUCUCCUAGCAACCUAUUCAGCCCAGGGGACAGGCACAAGAGUUUGGAGAGACCCCUAAGGGCCAUCCAGCCCAACCCUUUCUACUAUGCAGCAGGACACAAUCCAAGCAUUCACAACACAUGGACAACGUAUAAAUACUAUACAAUACUACACAGGGACCUAGACCCCCUCUACCCUCACCACUUUCACAGUACACAAACAACCAAAUGCAUACUAAACAUAAAGACAACCAUACAACAGACAUUCAAUAUCACCACUAUCUCAACAAUUUCUCAUCAACACUACCAAUCAACGCCACAGCAACGCGUGGCCGGGCACAGCUAGUACUACUAUAAAAUACAUAUACUAAACACAUGGUACAUAUACAAGAUACAACUGCAAGUCUAAUAUCAAAAUUCAUUUAUGUUUCAUAAAUAAAUAAAUACCAUAUACACAUAGCAUGGAAGCCAUUUUAUAUAUUUUAAAUAAUUUUGUGUCUGAAGUAUGUAGGCAAAGUGUCACUUUCUCAGCCACCUAUAUGGACAGUUUUUGAAUAUGGAGUAUUUUGGUAGGCUCAAUCUGUAAUUGAAUAUUUGGUAUAAUCUAUUUUUAGUUUUUAAUUUAUUAAUGUGCAUGUGUGAACAGAGUUGUUAGUUUUUGUCUGGCAUUCAUUUACCCUGCUUCCUUUCCUUCCCAGUUCACCAAGGAGCCAAAGUGGUUUUCUGUGCCCCAGAAAGUGAAGAAGAAGAGGGGAAGGUGAUGGUGCAAGAACUGCAGAAUUGUGCAGGACCUGGGGAAGCUUACUUUCAAAUCUGUGAUGUUCGCUGUGAAAAAGCUAUUCAGAAUCUGGUUGCUGUGACCAUUGAACUUCAUGGAUACCUUGACUGCCUGGUGAACAAUGUUGGAAUCCAUUCUUACAAAACAAUCGAUGAUCUCACUUCAGAGGAAUUCCACAACUAUAUGGACAUCAAUGCUGUCAGCUAUUUCUUAGCCUCUAAGGCAAGUAAUAUCAAGAAAUUCACAGGAAGCAGCAUUAUAUAACAUCAGAACCUUGGUGCCUUGAGUUUGGUGGUUGAACCAUGUAGCUGUAUUAUAUGUCAGAAUCCAGCAAAGCACCGUUCCCCUGAAAAAGCUUCUUUUCUUUUCUUCUUUUCUGAGCUCUGAAAAACAGCACACACUUUGUAGACUUUGCUUAUUGGUUUUCUCCAGAGAAGUAAGGCAGAGGAUAGGAUGGGAAAUUAAAUGUUCUGCUAUAAUAUUUUAAGGUGGAAAUCAUAGAAUCAUAGAAUAAUAGAGUUGGAAGAGACCUCAUGGGCCAUCCAGUUCAACCUCCUGCCAAGAAGCAGGAAAUCGCAUUCAAAGCACCCCCGACAGAUGGCCAUCCAGCCUCUGUUUAAAAGCUUCCAAAGAAGGAGCCUCCACUCUUUUUUUUUUUACCAGUAACUGUAUUUUUUUUAAUCAGGUACCUUUAGCCGCUCCUCCUAAAAAAAGUAUAUUUUUGAGCUAUGGAGCACAGCGCACACUUUGUAACCAAAUGGUUCCAGGUUUGAUAAGGAGGUGCAAUAUAGCUUUCCACAAGGUGCCAUUCUACCCCCAAUGCUUUUUAAAUUUUACAUGAAACUGCUGGCAAAAAGAAAUCAUCUGAUGGCAAGGGGUGGGGUACUAUCAGUAUGCUGAUGACACCCAAAUAUGUUUGUCCAUGCCUUCAAAAACAGCUUUAGCUAAGGGUAGUGAAUCUCUUCUGAAUGAAUGCCUAGAAGCAAUCAAAUGGAUGAAGAAAUAACAAAUUAAAACUGAAUCAAGAUAAGACAGAGUUGCUAACUAUUAAGAGAUUGGGAAUGUGUCAGUCAGUUCUGGAUGGGGUUA